This 85-nucleotide transfer RNA is filed under the name Deltaproteobacteria bacterium. RNAcentral's name for it is "tRNA-Leu". It matches the Rfam family "tRNA". Rfam says of the family: Transfer RNA (tRNA) molecules are approximately 80 nucleotides in length. Their secondary structure includes four short double-helical elements and three loops (D, anti-codon, and T loops). Lineage: Bacteria; Pseudomonadati; Myxococcota; Myxococcia. The record is from RNAcentral.
GCCGAAGUGGUGGAACUGGCAGACACGCCAUCUUGAGGGGGUGGUGGGAUUUCCCGUGGGGGUUCGAGUCCCCCCUUCGGCACCA